RNAcentral lists this RNase P RNA (420 nucleotides) under Myxococcales bacterium. Its description in RNAcentral is "RNase P RNA component class A". It matches the Rfam family "Bacterial RNase P class A". From Rfam's summary of the family: Ribonuclease P (RNase P) is a ubiquitous endoribonuclease, found in archaea, bacteria and eukarya as well as chloroplasts and mitochondria. Its best characterised activity is the generation of mature 5'-ends of tRNAs by cleaving the 5'-leader elements of precursor-tRNAs. The record is from RNAcentral. Lineage: Bacteria; Pseudomonadati; Myxococcota; Myxococcia; Myxococcales.
CUGGUGAGACAGGUGAUCGCUGGCGUCGCGAGACGCGGGAGGAAAGUCCGAGCACCACAGGGCGGGAUGCUGGAUAACGUCCAGUCGGGGUAACCCGAAGGAUAGUGCCACAGAAAGCAAACCGCGAUCCGUCGCACGGCAACGGCUGCGCCUCGCGCAGUCGGUCGGGCGGCUCGACGUAAGGGUGAAAGCGUGGGGUAAGAGCCCACGGCGGCGCUCGGUGACGAGCGUCUGCGGUAAACCCCAUCCGGUGCAAGACCAAAUAGGGAAGCCCUGCCGCAAGGCAGAACCAGUGGCCCGCUGGCUUCCGGGUAAGGUCGCUCGAGCCGUCGAGCAAUCGGCGGCCUAGAGGAAUGAUCGCCAUCGCCGCGCGGGUGACCGUUCGGCGGUACAGAACUCGGCUUACGGCUCACCAGGGCU